AUUCGACUGACGAGUCCCAAAUAAGAUGAAACGUGUGUCCUAGAU
This is a non-coding RNA of Schistosoma curassoni, 45 nucleotides long. Lineage: Eukaryota; Metazoa; Platyhelminthes; Trematoda; Strigeidida; Schistosomatidae. The record is from Rfam.